Molecule: long non-coding RNA, 2036 nt
Organism: Puntigrus tetrazona (Sumatra barb)
Lineage: Eukaryota; Metazoa; Chordata; Actinopteri; Cypriniformes; Cyprinidae
Exons: 3
Source: RefSeq, a predicted model, not a curated record
AGCUUAUCUUUGCUCUCUAAAAUAAAGGCAAACUCAAGACAGCGGCAUGUACUUCUGUGCUGCACGUGCAAGGUACUAAAAAUGAGCAUUUUAUCUCACAAAAACUCUCAGAGAUCUCGUUUGUUACACGCAGCUUCCUUGCAAAGAUCACAAUCUAUGAAUUGUAUUCCAACCGCCACGAUGUUAUGCAUCGGUUAGAAUGAAACAGCUCUGUUUCCUGUCAGUUGGGGGCAGUGUGUCUUCAUGCACCACUUCUUUAAGGCAUUCUGGUAGUUUAUAAACUCGAUGAAUCCACAUCAGACCUGUCACUAUUGCUAAAGCGCCCACUAUAUACUCAAAAUGUUCCUGAAUCUGUUCAUAUACAUAAGUUUGAAGUCAUUAGUCUCGGGUGAAAAGGUAGACACGGCUGUUCACCAGAAACCUCGCAAUCUCAUAAUAAAACGCGGAGAAUCUCCUGAAAUUGAGUGCUUCCACAAAAUCCCAGGCUAUGACCGCCUGUUGUGGUACAAACAGUCCCAGAGUAAAGAGUUAACGUUCAUGGGAAAUCUAAUCGGUGACUCUGGGUACCCGGAAAAAGCUUUCGAGAACAAAAUUAAUAUACGUGGAGAUUCAAAUAAGUUUCAUGGCUCUUUGACUCUGAUCAGUUCUACAAAAGAAGACGGUGCUGUUUAUUUCUGUGCAGCCUAUUACACAGUAACGCUAAAUUUGUUCCUCCCAUACAAAAACCUGAGAAUUAUUGUGUAUCGUGUACACCUGUGAUAAACCACUGUUAAUAUAAUGCUCUUUUCCAAAACCUUGGUACUUACAGGCAGCUGCCAUCUGUAGCUUUCUUAGUUUAAUUUAAAUCGAAAUAAAAUUUUGUUUCUUUUGAUUUAUUUGAGAAAAUAAGAAUGUAUGACACUUAUGUAUGACACUUAUUUUCUGAUGUAACCUGUGAUGACCAAAAAUGAUGAUUUACUUCACAUGCAAGUCAAAAUUCUGCUUUGAAUGUAUUCAGUGUUAAUUUCUCUCUUUAUUAUAGAAAGCAAUUCCAUCUAAGGUUCAUCAAUAUGAACAAAAUGGGAGGGACUAAUCUAUUCCAGCAUUAUAAGUCCACUAGAUGUCCUCACAUGCAUCUAUAGCUAUAGAAUUUCUUUACAUGAUUCAUUCCAAACUAAAAUGUUCGGUUUGCUGAUUUUGCUCUCGCUUCUUCCGUUAGAUUUGGGAAUAAAGCAACCACCUGAUCUCUUUGUAAAUGAGGAUCUCAAUGUGACCCUGAAGUGUUCCCAGAUCCAAACGUCGCACAACAGCAUGUACUGGUUCAGAAAAACGCUCACUGAGCAGUUGGAGCAGAUAGUCUAUUUCUUUGUUAAAACAGAAAGCUGGGAGAAGGAUUUUAAGCAGAGAGCAUCGGCUGUGAGGAACGGGGCGUCUUUAGACCUGACUCUUGUGAAAGUACAGAUCUCUGACAGCGGUGUUUAUUACUGUGCAAAACAGGAUGCACAUCAGUGUAAUCUAGUCUAUAACCUCAACAAAAACAUGCAGAUUCACGUCGAACACCUGCUCAUCUGAAAUGCACUACUACAGGGAUGAGUCAAUAAACUAUUUAUAUAUAUUUGUUUCAUAUUAUUACUUGAAACUUUUUAUGUUCAGCAAGGCCUGAAAGGAAAGGGAGAUAACGGUUUUUGGUCUGUUUGGAAACAUGCGUUCAUUUCUGCUUUUCUUUUACAAAGCGUCUGGAUUUCAUCAAUAUGAACAUCUUUUCAGUGAGGUUUUUGGAGAAGGGACUAAUCUGUUCCAGCAUGAUAUUGUGUCCAUUCCACUAGACGUCCUCCAAAGCUGCUGGAUUUCUUUGCAUCACUCAAAAAGCAGAAAAUGUUUGUUUUUGCUCUUGCUUUUUCCAUUAGAAAUCUUGUUAAAGUACAGAGCUCUGACAGUGGGGUUUAUUACUGAGCAAAACAGGCUGCACAUCGGUGAAACUAUAGGUUAUAGGUAUCUAUGUCCUCAACAAAAACAUGAAGAUUUACAUCUAACACCAUGAAAUUCUACAUAUAGAG